RNAcentral lists this ribosomal RNA (430 nucleotides) under uncultured archaeon. Its description in RNAcentral is "bacterial SSU rRNA". It matches the Rfam family "Archaeal small subunit ribosomal RNA", at positions 474 to 903 of the family's 1478-position model. The record is from RNAcentral.
UACCAGCUCUCCGAGUGGUAGGGAUGAUUAUUGGGCCUAAAGCGUCCGUAGCCGGCUUAGCAAGUCUCCUGUUAAAUUCAGCGACCUAAUCGUUGAGCCGCGGGAGAUACUACUAGGCUAGGAGGCGGGAGAGGUCAACGGUACUUCCGGGGUAGGGGUGAAAUCCUAUAAUCCCGGGAGGACCACCAGUGGCGAAGGCUGUUGACUAGAACGCGCUCGACGGUGAGGGACGAAAGCUGGGGGAGCGAACCGGAUUAGAUACCCGGGUAGUCCCAGCUGUAAACGAUGCGAGCUAGGUGUUGGGGUGGCUACGUGCCACUUCAGUGCCGCAGGGAAGCCAUUAAGCUCGCCGCCUGGGGAGUACGGCCGCAAGGCUGAAACUUAAAGGAAGUUGGCGGGGGAGCACCACAAGGCGUGAAGCUUGCGGUUC